This 73-nucleotide transfer RNA is filed under the name Thermoplasmata archaeon. Its description in RNAcentral is "tRNA-Val". It matches the Rfam family "tRNA". From Rfam's summary of the family: Transfer RNA (tRNA) molecules are approximately 80 nucleotides in length. Their secondary structure includes four short double-helical elements and three loops (D, anti-codon, and T loops). Further hydrogen bonds mediate the characteristic L-shaped molecular structure. tRNAs have two regions of fundamental functional importance: the anti-codon, which is responsible for specific mRNA codon recognition, and the 3' end, to which the tRNAs corresponding amino acid is attached (by aminoacyl-tRNA synthetases). tRNAs cope with the degeneracy of the genetic code in two manners: having more than one tRNA (with a specific anti-codon) for a particular amino acid; and 'wobble' base-pairing, i.e. permitting non-standard base-pairing at the 3rd anti-codon position. Lineage: Archaea; Methanobacteriati; Thermoplasmatota; Thermoplasmata. RNAcentral also lists the same sequence under 2 other names. The record is from RNAcentral.
GGGCUGGUGGUCUAGUGGUUAUGACGUCGCGCUUACAACGCGGAGAUCGGCGGUUCAAUUCCGCCUCAGCCCA